ACAGACAUCCACACAUGCACAGACAUCCACAAACAGACAUCCACACAUCCACAGACAUCCACACAUCCACAGACAUCCACACAUCCACAUCCAGACAUCCACACAUCCACAUCCACACAUCCACAAACAGACAUCCACACAUCCACAAACAGACAUCCACAAACAGACAUCCACAAACCCACAGACAUCCACAAACCCACAGACAUCCACAGACAUCCACAAACCCACAGACAUCCACACAUCCACAAACCCACAGACAUCCACACAUCCACAAACCCACAGACAUCCACACAUCCACAAACAUCCACAGACAUCCACAAACAGACAUCCACAAACAGACAUCCACAAACAGACAUCCACAAACAGACAUCCACA
Pelobates cultripes (western spadefoot toad) is the source of this 375-nucleotide non-coding RNA. Lineage: Eukaryota; Metazoa; Chordata; Amphibia; Anura; Pelobatidae. The record is from the annotation of a GenBank genome assembly.